Molecule: ribosomal RNA, 253 nt
Filed under: uncultured bacterium
Lineage: Bacteria
Description: partial 16S ribosomal RNA
Rfam family: Bacterial small subunit ribosomal RNA
Source: RNAcentral
UACGUAGGUGGCAAGCGUUGUCCGGAAUUAUUGGGCGUAAAGCGCGCGCAGGCGGUCCUUUAAGUCUGAUGUGAAAGCCCACGGCUCAACCGUGGAGGGUCAUUGGAAACUGGGGGACUUGAGUGCAGAAGAGGAAAGCGGAAUUCCACGUGUAGCGGUGAAAUGCGUAGAUAUUGGGAGGAACACCGAUGGCGAAGGCGGCUACCUGGACAGUGACUGACGCUGAGGCGCGAAAGCUAGGGGAGCGAACGGG